This 301-nucleotide ribosomal RNA is filed under the name uncultured bacterium. Its description in RNAcentral is "partial 16S ribosomal RNA". It matches the Rfam family "Bacterial small subunit ribosomal RNA", at positions 509 to 807 of the family's 1533-position model. The record is from RNAcentral.
CAGCCGCCGCGGGAAUACGUAGGGUGCAAGCGUUAAUCGGAAUUACUGGGCGUAAAGCGUGCGCAGGCGGUUUGUUAAGACAGAUGUGAAAUCCCCGGGCUCAACCUGGGAACUGCAUUUGUGACUGGCAAGCUAGAGUCUGGCAGAGGGGGGUGGAAUUCCGCGUGUAGCAGUGAAAUGCGUAGAUAUGCGGAGGAACACCGAUGGCGAAGGCAGCCCCCUGGGCCAACACUGACGCUCAUGCACGAAAGCGUGGGGAGCAAACAGGAUUAGAUACCCCAGUAGUCCCUGUCUCUUAUAC